AGAUCUCGACUGCUGGAAUGCAUCGAGAUCGAAAGCUCCGGCGCCUAAGGAUGGGUCUGCGGCCUAUCAGGUAGUAGUGGGUGUAGCGUACCUACUAGCCUACGACGGGUACGGGUUGUGAGAGCAAGAGCCCGGAGAUGGAUUCUGAGACACGAAUCCAGGCCCUACGGGGUGCAGCAGGCGCGAAAACUUUACAAUGCUGGAAACAGCGAUAAGGGGACCUCGAGUGCCAGGUUACAAAUCUGGCUGUCGUGAUGCCUAAAAAGCAUUGCAUAGCAAGGGCCGGGCAAGACCAGUGCCAGCCGCCGCGGUAACACCGGCGGCUCGAGUGGUAACCGUUAUUAUUGGGUCUAAAGGGUCUGUAGCCGGCCGGAUAAGUCUCUUGGGAAAUCCAGCAGCUCAACUGUUGGGCUUUCAGGAGAUACUGUCUGGCUCGAGGCCGGGAGAGGUGAGAGGUACUUCAGGGGUAGGGGUGAAAUCUUGUAAUCCUUGAAGGACCACCAGUGGCGAAGGCGUCUCACCAGAACGGACCUGACGGCAAGGGACGAAAGCUAGGGGCACGAACCGGAUUAGAUACCCGGGUAGUCCUAGCCGUAAACGAUACUCGCUAGGUGUCGGCCACGGUGCGACCGUUGUCGGUGCCGUAGGGAAGCCGUGAAGCGAGCCACCUGGGAAGUACGGCCGCAAGGCUGAAACUUAAAGGAAUUGGCGGGGGAGCACCACAACGGGUGGAGCUUGCGGUUUAAUUGG
This 750-nucleotide ribosomal RNA is filed under the name uncultured archaeon. RNAcentral describes it as "bacterial SSU rRNA". It matches the Rfam family "Archaeal small subunit ribosomal RNA", at positions 156 to 909 of the family's 1478-position model. The record is from RNAcentral.